Molecule: long non-coding RNA, 2339 nt
Organism: Ictalurus punctatus (channel catfish)
Lineage: Eukaryota; Metazoa; Chordata; Actinopteri; Siluriformes; Ictaluridae
Source: Ensembl
GUGAGUACAGUUUUGUCAUUUUUAAGGCUUCCAUUAGUUCAAGUUCAAGUUUAAUACACCAUGCUGUGGCUUAACAACAAACUGCCAAAGACAGAGGUGUAUUUAUACGUAGAUUAAACCAUGCCUGCAUAUUUCAGCAUUGAUUUACUGCCCUAAGAAUUAAAUAGCAUUUUACAUACUUGCCAUUUAUAGAACAUGGGGAAACUACCAAACGUUACAAGGCAUGACUACAAGGUACCACCAUCCACUGCGUGACUCGAUUAACAUUGGGCGAUUAACUUCUAAAAACAGGGUCUGACUAAUUCACUGAAAAUAAAUGAACCAGAUGGGUUUGUCGGUCACUGAGGAAAACAUUACACAACAGAUGUAAAAUAAUGUUUUGAAAGUUAGCAAUAAGUGUGUACUACAAGCACAGCAUGGUUAAUAUUAUGGGAUGCUCUACUCUGCUAGUCCAGUAAUUACCCAGUCCUUAAAUGUGUGGCAGCCUAGGAAAACAUGUCGAUUGCUCUGUGUAUGAAUUCUGGGAAAUGGACAAGAAAAAAAGGAAUAAAAAUCAGGUUUUGGUUAAAAUUUGUUUGUUCUGAAUAUAUCACACGAUAGGUUUGUGGACACCUGGCCAUCAUAGCCAUAUGUGGUUCUUCUCCAAACUGUUGCCACAAUGUUGGAAGCACACAAUUGUAUAGAAUGUCUUUGUAUGCUGUAGCUUUACAAAUUCCCGUCACUGGAACUGACAGACCCCAAAAUGUUCCAGCAUGACAAUUCCCCGUGCACAAAGCAAGCUCCAUGAAGACACGGUUUGCCAAGGUUGGAGUGGAAGAACUCAUGUGUCCUGCACAGAGCCCUGACUUCAACCCCACUGAACACCUUUUGGUGUGAAAUAAAACACUGAUUGCACUCCUGACCUCCUCACCCGACAACAGUGCCUGACCUCACUAAUGCUCUUAUGGCUGAAUGAACACAAAUCCCCACAGCCACGCUCCAAAAUCUAGUGGAAAGGCUUCCCAGAAGAGUGGAGUGUAUUAUAACAACAAAGAGGGGCAAAAUCUGGAAUUGGAUUUUCACAAGCACAUAUGAGUGUUUAUAGUGUCCAUAGGUGUCCACAAACACUUACCCAUACAGUGUACUUGACACUUCAACCUUAAAAAAACAUAAAUAUAUUAAUCCAAUGUGAGAUGGAAAUGUUUUACUUACCAUCUUGCCUAAGAUCAUGUUAGGUAAGUAGCCAAUUUAACAAAUACCGUGGUAAAAAAAAAAAUCCGUCUGUUUAAACACAUCUAAAACCUUGCUAGCUAAGAAAGAUUUCUCACACAGUGAACAUGCUUAGAUCAAGUUGUUGGAUAGCUGUGUGUCUUGGUGAAAUUGAUAUACAGUGAGCCUAACCAAUUCAGUUUGUAAUCAUAUUUUCAGUUUGUAAUUAAUAUCACUUUCUGGAAAAUCCAGGCUUUUAAAUGCUAGAACGCAGAAUGUAGUUUACAUACAUACAAAAUAGGUCAGGAAGUAACAAAACGCAAACAGAACAAAUGUCAACAAAUGUCAACCAUCUGUUUUCCCAGGCCGUCACACAAUUAUCUUUCAUGCUUAUCUUCCAGGACUCUUUCACCUACCACUUCAAACAUUAACAUUUCAGUCAUCCUUCCCAAGUGUUGUCUUUCAAGCUCUUUGUCAUAAUCAUGUUCAACAUGGUCUCCAGGCCUCUUUUUUCAUGUAAUGAAAUAAAAAUCACAAUUAUAAUUCAGCGUGCUUUUCCAUAGUGGAUUUGUUCCUUGGUCUGAUGUGCCAAAUGGCUUGGGCAGUGGAGGCUUGACGGUUAUGGCUCUGGGUUACUGAUUGGAAGGUCAAGGGUUCAGGCCCCAGCACUGCCUGGCUCUGGGUUACUGAUCAGAAGGACGGGGGUUCAAGCCCCAGCUCUGCCAAGCUGUGACUGUUGGGCCCUUGAGCAAGGCCCUUAACCCUCUCUGCUCCAGGGGUGCUGUAUCAUGGCUGACCCUGUGCUCUGACCCCAACUUCCUGGCAUGGGAAAUUUCCUCAAAUUUGAAUGCAUAUUGGGGAUGUGCUUUAGCUUUGUUGCAUUUUCUUCAAAUAAGGUCAUAAGAGUGCUUACCCAGAUAACCUUUGCAUCUUUUCAUACUACUGAUGUUGUUCCAAUUGUUAUGAAUUUACAAAUUGAAGACCAUGUUGGGAUCAAUACACUACAUGGCCAAAUGUUUGUGGACACCUGACCAUCACACCCAUAUGUGCAUUUUGAGCAUCCCAUUCCAGAUUUAUCCCCCUUUGCUGUUAUAAUAACAUCCAUUCUUCUGGGAAGACUUUGUACUAGAUUUCCCUUGGAUUUGCCAAUU